RNAcentral lists this ribosomal RNA (99 nucleotides) under Clinacanthus nutans. RNAcentral's name for it is "partial 5.8S ribosomal RNA". It matches the Rfam family "5.8S ribosomal RNA", at positions 61 to 154 of the family's 154-position model. Rfam says of the family: 5.8S ribosomal RNA (5.8S rRNA) is a component of the large subunit of the eukaryotic ribosome. Lineage: Eukaryota; Viridiplantae; Streptophyta; Magnoliopsida; Lamiales; Acanthaceae. The record is from RNAcentral.
ACUGGUGUGAAUUGCAGAAUCCCGUGAACCAUCGAGUCUUUGAACGCAAGUUGCGCCCGAAGCCCUCGGGCCGAGGGCACGCCUGCCUGGGCGUCACGC